GACUCCGUAGCUCAGUUGGUAGAGCAACUGACUCUUAAUCAGUGGGUCGAGAGUUCGAGCCUCUCCGGGGUC
RNAcentral lists this transfer RNA (72 nucleotides) under Muribaculaceae bacterium. RNAcentral describes it as "tRNA-Lys". It matches the Rfam family "tRNA". From Rfam's summary of the family: Transfer RNA (tRNA) molecules are approximately 80 nucleotides in length. Their secondary structure includes four short double-helical elements and three loops (D, anti-codon, and T loops). Further hydrogen bonds mediate the characteristic L-shaped molecular structure. tRNAs have two regions of fundamental functional importance: the anti-codon, which is responsible for specific mRNA codon recognition, and the 3' end, to which the tRNAs corresponding amino acid is attached (by aminoacyl-tRNA synthetases). tRNAs cope with the degeneracy of the genetic code in two manners: having more than one tRNA (with a specific anti-codon) for a particular amino acid; and 'wobble' base-pairing, i.e. permitting non-standard base-pairing at the 3rd anti-codon position. Lineage: Bacteria; Pseudomonadati; Bacteroidota; Bacteroidia; Bacteroidales; Muribaculaceae. The record is from RNAcentral.